AGUGAAUAGAUACCCUGGUAGUCCCAGCUGUAAACGAUGCGCGUUAGGUGUAUCGGUGACCACGAGUCACCGAGGUGCCGAAGAGAAAUCGUGAAACGUGCCGCCUGGGAAGUACGGUCGCAAGGCUGAAACUUAAAGGAAUUGGCGGGGGAGCACCACAACAGGUGGAGCCUGCGGUUUAAUCGGACUCAACGCCGGGAAGCUCACCGGAUAAGACAGCUGAAUGAUAGCCGGGUUGAAGACUCUGCUUGACUAGCUGAGAGGAGGUGCAUGGCCGUCGUCAGUUCGUACUGUGAAGCAUCCUGUUAAGUCAGGCAACGAGCGAGACCCACGCCAACAGUUGCCAGCAUGUCCUCCGGGAUGGUGGGGACACUGUUGGGACCGCCUCUGCUAAAGAGGAGGAAGGAAUGGGCAACGGUAGGUCAGCAUGCCCCGAAUUAUCCGGGCUACACGCGGGCUACAAUGGUCAGGACAAUGGGUAUCAACACCGAAAGGUGAAGGCAAUCUCCUAAA
RNAcentral lists this ribosomal RNA (513 nucleotides) under uncultured bacterium. RNAcentral's name for it is "bacterial SSU rRNA". It matches the Rfam family "Archaeal small subunit ribosomal RNA", at positions 725 to 1236 of the family's 1478-position model. The record is from RNAcentral.